ACGAACGCUGGCGGCGUGCUUAACCCCUGCCAGUCGAACGGAAAGGCCCUGCUUGCAGGGUACUCGAGUGGCGAACGGGUGAGUAACACGUGGGUGAUCUGCCCUGCACUUCGGGAUAAGCCUGGGAAACUGGGUCUAAUACCGGAUAGGAGCCAUUUUUAGUGUGAUGGUUGGAAAGUUUUUUUCGGUGUAGGAUGAGCUCGCGGCCUAUCAGCUUGUUGGUGGGGUAAUGGCCUACCAAGGCGGCGACGGGUAGCCGGCCUGAGAGGGUGGACGGCCACAUUGGGACUGAGAUACGGCCCAGACUCCUACGGGAGGCAGCAGUGGGGAAUAUUGCACAAUGGGCGCAAGCCUGAUGCAGCGACGCCGCGUGGGGGAUGACGGCCUUCGGGUUGUAAACUCCUUUCGCUAGGGACGAAGCUUUUUGUGACGGUACCUAGAUAAGAAGCACCGGCUAACUACGUG
RNAcentral lists this ribosomal RNA (465 nucleotides) under uncultured bacterium. RNAcentral's name for it is "partial 16S ribosomal RNA". It matches the Rfam family "Bacterial small subunit ribosomal RNA", at positions 29 to 507 of the family's 1533-position model. The record is from RNAcentral.